AACAGUUUAAGUGCUGGGCAGCACGCUGCGGGGGGAGGACUGGUGUUUAUACUGGGAACAAAGGACGUGAUGGCUAAGGAGCAAUUCCACUUAGCCGGAAAGAUGUUUGUGACAAGAUUUUCUUCCCACAAGCACACCACUGACAUGGAAAAUAAACAAGGCAGGGGCAGAUCCAGCCACUCAGAGACUUUCAGCUUCAUGGGGACUGCAUUCCAUUUGUUACCUCCACCACAGACUAAUUGACUUGAGCAGUACCAAGGCUGCCAUUCCUCGUAUCUCUUGUUCAUAAACUCAAGGAUUCCUAUUCAUAAAAGACUGAAGAUGACCCCCGCCCCCUCAUCCUAUUUUCAGCUGUACAGAAGAAGUGUUCUAUACAGUUUCUGACUUUCUUUUUAAUGCAAUUAAAAUCCAAAACGAGGACAUUUUAGUGAACUUGGUC
Acipenser ruthenus (sterlet) is the source of this 439-nucleotide long non-coding RNA. RefSeq lists it as uncharacterized. NCBI's taxonomy places the organism in Eukaryota, Metazoa, Chordata, Actinopteri, Acipenseriformes, Acipenseridae. The transcript is spliced from 3 exons. The record is from RefSeq and is a predicted model, not a curated record.